Molecule: ribosomal RNA, 172 nt
Filed under: uncultured bacterium
Lineage: Bacteria
Description: partial 16S ribosomal RNA
Rfam family: Bacterial small subunit ribosomal RNA
Source: RNAcentral
ACUCCUACGCGACGCAGCAGAGAGGAAUCUUCCACAAUCGGCCAAAGCCUGAUGGAGCAACGCCGCGUGAAGGAUGAAGGCCCUCGGGUCGUAAACUUCUUUUAUAAGUGAAGAAUAUGACGGUAACUUAUGAAUAAGCACCGGCUAACUACGUGCCAGCAGCCGCGGUAAU